Molecule: ribosomal RNA, 839 nt
Filed under: uncultured bacterium
Lineage: Bacteria
Description: bacterial SSU rRNA
Rfam family: Bacterial small subunit ribosomal RNA
Source: RNAcentral
GCUCAGGAUGAACGCUAGCUACAGGCUUAACACAUGCAAGUCGAGGGGCAGCGGGAUUGAAGCUUGCUUCAAUUGCCGGCGACCGGCGCACGGGUGAGUAACGCGUAUCCAACCUUCCGUACACUCAGGGAUAGCCUUUCGAAAGAAAGAUUAAUACCUGAUGGUAUGAUGAGAUUGCAUGAUAGCAUCAUUAAAGAUUUAUCGGUGUACGAUGGGGAUGCGUUCCAUUAGGUAGUAGGCGGGGUAACGGCCCACCUAGCCAACGAUGGAUAGGGGUUCUGAGAGGAAGGUCCCCCACAUUGGAACUGAGACACGGUCCAAACUCCUACGGGAGGCAGCAGUGAGGAAUAUUGGUCAAUGGACGAGAGUCUGAACCAGCCAAGUAGCGUGAAGGAUGAAGGUCCUACGGAUUGUAAACUUCUUUUAUAAGGGAAUAAACCCUCCCACGUGUGGGAGCUUGUAUGUACCUUAUGAAUAAGCAUCGGCUAACUCCGUGCCAGCAGCCGCGGUAAUACGGAGGAUGCGAGCGUUAUCCGGAUUUAUUGGGUUUAAAGGGAGCGCAGACGGGUCGUUAAGUCAGCUGUGAAAGUUUGGGGCUCAACCUUAAAAUUGCAGUUGAUACUGGCGUCCUUGAGUGCGGUUGAGGUGUGCGGAAUUCGUGGUGUAGCGGUGAAAUGCUUAGAUAUCACGAAGAACUCCGAUUGCGAAGGCAGCACACUAAUCCGUAACUGACGUUCAUGCUCGAAAGUGUGGGUAUCAAACAGGAUUAGAUACCCUGGUAGUCCACACGGUAAACGAUGGAUACUCGCUGUUGGCGAUAUACUGUCAGCGGCUUAGCG